RNAcentral lists this ribosomal RNA (502 nucleotides) under uncultured bacterium. Its description in RNAcentral is "bacterial SSU rRNA". It matches the Rfam family "Bacterial small subunit ribosomal RNA", at positions 26 to 518 of the family's 1533-position model. The record is from RNAcentral.
UCAAGGAUGAACGCUGGGCGGCGUGACUUAACACAUGCAAGUCGAACGGAGUUUUUAAACGGAAGUUUUCGGAUGGAAGUUUAGAAACUUAGGUGGCGGACGGGUGAGUAACGCGUGGGUAACCUGCCUCAUACAGGGGGGAUAACAGUUAGAAAUGACUGCUAACACCGCAUAAUAUAGCGAAACCGCAUGAUUUUUGCUAUCAAAUAUUUUAUAGGUAUGAGAUGGGCCCGCGUCUGAUUAGCUAGUUGGUGGGGUAAAAGCCUACCAAGGCGACGAUCAGUAGCCGGCUUGAGAGAGUGACCGGCCACAUUGGGACUGAGACACGGCCCAAACUCCUACGGGAGGCAGCAGUGGGGAAUAUUGGACAAUGGGGGAAACCCUGAUCCAGCGAACCGCCGCGUGAGUGAAGAAGUAUUUCGGUAUGUAAAGCUCUAUCAGCAGGGAAGAUAAUGACAGUACCUGACUAAGAAGCCCCGGCUAACUACGUGCCAGCAGCGGC